Molecule: ribosomal RNA, 373 nt
Filed under: Loxopholis caparensis
Lineage: Eukaryota; Metazoa; Chordata; Lepidosauria; Squamata; Gymnophthalmidae
Description: partial small subunit ribosomal RNA
Rfam family: Bacterial small subunit ribosomal RNA
Source: RNAcentral
CACGACCCCCCGUCCGCCAGAAAAUUACGAGCAAGACCUCCCCUUUAGCCUAAAACUCAAAAGACUUGACGGUGUCCCAAUCUACCUAGAGGAGCCUGUUACAUAAUCGAUAACCCACGAUCAACCCAACCACCCCUCGAAUAUAACAUCAGCCUAUAUACCGCCGUCACCAGCCCACCUUUUAAAAGAAAUAAAGUAGGCACAAUAGUCUAUUACUAAUACGUCAGGUCAAGGUGUAGCCCAUGAGGUGGUGCCAAUGGGCUACAUUAUCUCCCACAGAUCACCCACGAACUAUUUUUUGAUAUAAUUAUACAAAGGCGGAUUUAGCAGUAAACUAGGUCAGAAUACUUAAUUUAACACCUGCGCUGGGACA